This 253-nucleotide ribosomal RNA is filed under the name uncultured bacterium. Its description in RNAcentral is "partial 16S ribosomal RNA". It matches the Rfam family "Bacterial small subunit ribosomal RNA", at positions 524 to 776 of the family's 1533-position model. The record is from RNAcentral.
UACGUAGGGGGCUGGCGUUGUCCGGAAUCAUUGGGCGUAAAGAGCGUGUAGGCGGUCCGGUAAGUCCGCUGUGAAAGUCGGGGGCUCAACCCUCGAAUGCCGGUGGAUACUGUCGGGCUAGAGUGCGGAAGAGGCGAGUGGAAUUCCUGGUGUAGCGGUGAAAUGCGCAGAUAUCAGGAGGAACACCUAUUGUGAAGGCAGCUCGCUGGGACGUUACUGACGCUGAGACGCGAAAGCGUGGGGAGCAAACAGG